UAUAACCGCAGCUUCACGUCGUCUCAGAGCCCCGCCCUCUAUCUGACUGUGGGAGACUUGGUGAGAAAUCUGAUCAUCAGGGUGGUUCUGGUCCACUUCAUCCUGAUCACGGGGAUCAUUUUCCUCUACUUCUACUGUCGGGCCAGUAGGGGGCGCUUCACACUGAAGAUACGGAAGACAGGAUGAGAUACACGACCACAGACACAGUCUACGACCACAGUCUACGUCCACAAAACACCAUCCUUCUGACUUAACCUACUGAUGAUGUGUGAUAAACCUGUCAGAUUUUGUUUUUAGUCCAAUGUCCUGAAGGUCCGAUGGACGACUGGGAUCAGCUGUGGUCCAUAAACAGUUUUUCCAGAACCUUCUUCCCCAAAACUGUCGAUUAGAAUGAGUUGGUAUUUGUUGUGGAACAUCUUUGGGCUAAGGUCUACCAAGUUUGUUCACAGAAUCGGGAAAUAUUGAUUUGUGAAUUUAAUAUGAAUUUUUAAAAAUUUUCUAAAUCCCCAUUGGUUUAUAAUGGGACCCAUUUCAAAGUGUUAUAAAUUGAAACAGUUGAAGAUAUUGAUCUAAUUACUAUUGAUAAUAGAUAGGAAGUCAUAUAUGGGCUUUAAUUUGGUGCAGUGACCUUUGACCUGGAGUGACCUUGAAAGGUCAAGCAAAUGUCAAUUAAUGUCUUUGAAUAUGAACUACAAGACCCU
Molecule: long non-coding RNA, 701 nt
Organism: Sphaeramia orbicularis (orbiculate cardinalfish)
Lineage: Eukaryota; Metazoa; Chordata; Actinopteri; Kurtiformes; Apogonidae
Exons: 3
Source: RefSeq, a predicted model, not a curated record